RNAcentral lists this ribosomal RNA (925 nucleotides) under uncultured bacterium. Its description in RNAcentral is "partial 16S ribosomal RNA". The stretch from base 75 to 586 matches the Rfam family "Bacterial small subunit ribosomal RNA", at positions 37 to 537 of the family's 1533-position model. The record is from RNAcentral.
UNACUACACGACGCCCGUGUUAUGCCUUUAGCAUUGNACGGUUGUUUCNUAGAGUCUCAACACUGGCCGCUCAGUUGUGACAGCCUUACACAUGCAGUCGAACGGCAGCACGGACUUCGGUCUGGUGGCGAGUGGCGAACGGGUGAGUAAUGUAUCGGAACGUGCCCAGUAGCGGGGGAUAACUACGCGAAUGCGUAGCUAAUACCGCAUACGCCCUACGGGGGAAAGCAGGGGAUCGUAAGACCUUGCACUAUUGGAGCGGCCGAUAUCGGAUUAGCUAGUUGGUGGGGUAACGGCUCACCAAGGCGACGAUCCGUAGCUGGUUUGAGAGGACGACCAGCCACACUGUGUGACUGAGACACGGCCAGACUCCUACGGGAGGCAGCAGUGGGGAAUUUUGGACAAUGGGGGAAAACCCUGAUCCAGCCAUCCCGCGUUGUGCGAUNGAAGGCCUUCGGGUUUGUAAAGCCACUUUUUGGCAGGAAAGAAACGUUCAUUGGNGUUAAUACCCCGUGAAACUGACGGUACUGUGCAAAAUAAGCACCGGCUAACUAACGUGCCACANCCGCGGAAUACGUAGGUGCAAACGUAAUCNGAAAUACUGGGCCGUNAAACGUGCCCAAGCNGGCCGCAACAACAACNUUNAACCAAACUAACUUGGACCGCUUUUAACUUCCGGGCCUAAAUGNUGUNUCCACAGGGACGGNGGAAAUUCCCUUUAGCAUAAAUCGCUAAAUUGCGGAGAACACCCAUGAGAAAGCNCNCUCCNGGGAAAAACUNNAGCUCUAGCACAAGGNUGGGGAGCACGGUUAAAACCGNUAUAUCACCCCAACAAUUCACUAUUGCCGCCUGUGACACACAGUAACACCGGGAACCGCAAAACAGCAGANAGGCCCGGGNUUUNUUACACGCACNACUGUUGUGA